RNAcentral lists this long non-coding RNA (199 nucleotides) under Elaeis guineensis (African oil palm). RNAcentral's name for it is "long non-coding RNA (EGUI_LNC024912)". Lineage: Eukaryota; Viridiplantae; Streptophyta; Magnoliopsida; Arecales; Arecaceae. The record is from RNAcentral.
GCCAAACAAAAUGUCUUAUCAUUAAUAGCAGUAUCAAUUCUAUCUAUUUUUUUUUUGCCAAUCAGUUGUAGCCCAAGUGGAAUAGGGCUUUGUUUCCAUACGAUGGAUUCGGGUUCGAAACAUGCGCGCAUUGAUGCCCUGUGGUGGGAUCUUAAACGAAUAUUUUUCGGUAGAAGGAGGUCCUUAUGGUCACGCCCAG